RNAcentral lists this unclassified non-coding RNA (250 nucleotides) under uncultured fungus. RNAcentral's name for it is "sequence contains ITS1, 5.8S rRNA gene". The stretch from base 202 to 250 matches the Rfam family "5.8S ribosomal RNA", at positions 1 to 49 of the family's 154-position model. Lineage: Eukaryota; Fungi. The record is from RNAcentral.
UUUCCGUAGGUGAACCUGCGGAAGGAUCAUUAAUGAAAGUAAAGGAGCGCUCUUUUUAGAGGCUUCGACCCUUUCUAUUCCACACACCCGCGCACUCGGGGGCGUCGAUGCCGGCUGACGAAGCCGUUUGCGGAGGCGCUUUCCGCCCUUUAUCAUGCUCCAUCUGUACCGAGGAUGUUGAUAAAUUAGAGAAACAAAUAAAACUUUCAACAACGGAUCUCUUGGCUCUCGCAUCGAUGAAGAACGCAGC